GGGGUCCUAGCUCAGCUGGGAGAGCAUCUGCCUUACAAGCAGAGGGUCAUAGGUUCGAGCCCUAUAGGCCCCA
This 73-nucleotide transfer RNA is filed under the name Blautia obeum. RNAcentral's name for it is "tRNA-Val". It matches the Rfam family "tRNA". From Rfam's summary of the family: Transfer RNA (tRNA) molecules are approximately 80 nucleotides in length. Their secondary structure includes four short double-helical elements and three loops (D, anti-codon, and T loops). Lineage: Bacteria; Bacillati; Bacillota; Clostridia; Lachnospirales; Lachnospiraceae. RNAcentral also lists the same sequence under 1 other name. The record is from RNAcentral.